CGCUGGCGGCGUGCCUAAUACAUGCAAGUCGAACGAUGAAGCUUCUAGCUUGCUAGAAGUGGAUUAGUGGCGCACGGGUGAGUAAUGCAUAGGUAACAUGCCCUUUAGUCUGGGAUAGCCACUGGAAACGGUGAUUAAUACUAGAUAUUCCCUACGGGGGAAAGUUUUUCGCUAAAGGAUUGGCCUAUGUCCUAUCAGCUUGUUGGUGAGGUAAUGGCUCACCAAGGCUAUGACGGGUAUCCGGCCUGAGAGGGUGAUCGGACACACUGGAACUGAGACACGGUCCAGACUCCUACGGGAGGCAGCAGUAGGGAAUAUUGCUCAAUGGGGGAAACCCUGAAGCAGCAACGCCGCGUGGAGGAUGAAGGUUUUCGGAUUGUAAACUCCUUUUGUUAGAGAAGAUAAUGACGGUAUCUAACGAAUAAGCACCGGCUAACUCCGUGCCAGCAGCCGCGGUAAUACGGAGGGUGCAAGCGUUACUCGGAAUCACUGGGCGUAAAGAGCGCGUAGGCGGGGUAGCAAGUCAGAUGUGAAAUCCUAUGGCUUAACCAUAGAACUGCAUUUGAAACUGUUACUCUAGAGUAUGGGAGAGGUAGGUGGAAUUCUUGGUGUAGGGGUAAAAUCCGUAGAGAUCAAGAGGAAUACUCAUUGCGAAGGCGACCUGCUGGAACAUUACUGACGCUGAUGCGCGAAAGCGUGGGGAGCAAACAGGAUUAGAUACCCUGGUAGUCCACGCCCUAAACGAUGAAUGCUAGUUGUUGUGAGGCUUGUCCUUGCAGUAAUGCAGCUAACGCAUUAAGCAUUCCGCCUGGGGAGUACGGUCGCAAGAUUAAAACUCAAAGGAAUAGACGGGGACCCGCACAAGCGGUGGAGCAUGUGGUUUAAUUCGAAGAUACGCGAAGAACCUUACCUAGGCUUGACAUUGAUAGAAUCUACUAGAGAUAGUGGAGUGCCCUUUUAGGGAGCUUGAAAACAGGUGCUGCACGGCUGUCGUCAGCUCGUGUCGUGAGAUGUUGGGUUAAGUCCCGCAACGAGCGCAACCCUCGUCCUUAGUUGCUAGCAGUUCGGCUGAGCACUCUAAGGAGACUGCCUUCGUAAGGAGGAGGAAGGUGAGGACGACGUCAAGUCAUCAUGGCCCUUACGCCUAGGGCUACACACGUGCUACAAUGGGGUGCACAAAGAGAUGCAAUACUGUGAAGUGGAGCCAAUCUCAAAAACAUCUCUCAGUUCGGAUUGUAGUCUGCAACUCGACUACAUGAAGCUGGAAUCGCUAGUAAUCGUGAAUCAGCCAUGUCACGGUGAAUACGUUCCCGGGUCUUGUACUCACCGCCCGUCACACCAUGGGAGUUGUAUUCGCCUUAAGUCGGAAUACUAA
Molecule: ribosomal RNA, 1375 nt
Filed under: Helicobacter canadensis
Lineage: Bacteria; Pseudomonadati; Campylobacterota; Epsilonproteobacteria; Campylobacterales; Helicobacteraceae
Description: 16S ribosomal RNA
Rfam family: Bacterial small subunit ribosomal RNA
Source: RNAcentral